Molecule: long non-coding RNA, 4260 nt
Filed under: Marmota monax (woodchuck)
Lineage: Eukaryota; Metazoa; Chordata; Mammalia; Rodentia; Sciuridae
Source: RNAcentral
CUCUUUCUUUGGGGAGGUAGGAUCCGUUCCCGUCUCUUGCAGAGGUGCUCUGCCCCAGAUCCCUGCCUUUUGGCUUGUCUGCACCCUGGGGGUCCUCCACCAUUGGGAUUGCAGAAAAGGACAUAUUUGGGGACGACCAGCACCCCACCAGGGCAGUUUUCUAUUCAGGAGGGGAUAAGCCACCUGAGAAAAUAAAAGUCUGAAAUAAUGAAGAAUUAAGAGAGCUAGAAAAUAGGGUUUAAGGGAGCAUCGCUAUGGCUAAACAUAGUUGCACAUACCAACCUCAAGACUCUGGGGUCACUAGACCCAAUACAUGAUUACUUGCCUCCUUGAGGGCAUGACAAAAAAUUCUCAUACCCAGGUUAAUUACGACAAGAUCAGAGAAAUCACCCAAGUCCCUGAUAAAAAUCCUGCCCUCUUUUUGGCUUAACUUACUGAGGCUACCAGAUAUACCAGCCUGGACCCCAAUACUCCCAUCGGUACUCUCUUUCUCCAUAUCUAAUUUAUGGGCAGUUCUGCACCUCAUAUCCCUAAAAAAACUUAGUUUGAAAAGGGUCCCGAGACUCCCUCAGCAGCAACUUCUAUAUGUUGCUUUCAAAGUCUUUAACAAAUCAGGAAGACAAGGCCAAAAAGGAGAAUGAAAACAUCCCAAAGCUAAAUAUCAACUUCUGGCCUCAGCCAUCCAUAACCCUAAAAAAGCACCUGCUCAUGGCCCCACCAAACCCUCUAAUACACCUCCCAGAGCAUAUUUCUGAUGUGGGCAGACAGAACAUUGGGCAAAAGCUUGCCCUUACCUGAGGCCCCCACUAACCCCUGUCCCAACUGUGGACAAUGGGGACACUAGAGGAUGGGCUGUCCCCAGGGAAGGACACCGGUCCCCUUGGUACAACCUGCUUCCCAAGUCCCAUAGACUGAAUUACCAAAUGAGGGGGCCCAGACUCCACUGCCCCUAUCACCUAAGGUGAUACAUCCAAGGAAUCCCCACUUACAGAGAUGGUGAACGGCCAGGUAAUUUCUUUUUUGGUCGACACUGGGACAAGUCUUUCCCUUCUGACACAAUGGCACGGACCUACUUCCAAAGCAAAUAUCCCUAUUACAGGAGUCUCUGGAGUCCCUGUAUAGCCACUGAAGUCACCUUCCCUCUUCUGCAUGUUGGGAUCCCUCACACUAUCCCAGUCUUUUUUCGUCAUGACACAUUGUCCCAUCCCCCUAUUGGGCUGAGAUCUCCUCCAUAAAUUAAAAGCUUCCAUCAUCAUUCCUCCUUUAAGGUCUACUAUCAUUUUAAAAAAUACAUUCCAGCCUGGACCUGAUCUCUCUCCCCCUUAAGCCUCCUGAUCAUUCCUUACUCACUGUUGUGGGGCAGGUCACUCAGAAAACAUACCAAGUCCCAAUUUUGUCCAAAUUGAAGAGUCUUUAUUUAGCAGGCCAGCUGGCGACUGCUCCCCACAGGACCUAUAACUGUCUCUUCAAGGAACAGCCCCAAGCCUGAGCAUUUUAGGAUAUUUAAAGAAAAAAACCACACCUGGGUUGACAUAGCUGCAAGCAAGCAGGUACAGAAGUUGAAUUGGGCAGUUAGUGAGACAAUGCAAUAGGUGCAUUGGUAUUUCCCACGGGACUUUCCAGGUUGGCAUAGCAGCAAGCAAGCAGGGGGGAAGAGGGUCAAAAUGACUCUAGUUCAGUACACAUUAAGGAAUGGUUACUAACAUCUAGAUAAUUGAUCUCUGACAAGGUACAUUGCCCAAGAAAAAUGGAAAGCAAAGAGAACUAUUUUACAUUGUAUAAAAAUUGCUAUUUUGUGUUGCCAAGUAAGUUAUGCUAGGUAAUUAUUAAUGGGUACAGAGGUGGGGCUUUUCCACAGGAGAAGCAUUUCUUACAUGACAUAGAGGCUCAGGGUAAAAUGGAGUCUGUUUGGUCAUUGCCCAUAUAGCCUGGCCCAUAACACUCAGUAGGAUUGACUCCACAGUCUGGGACACCUCUCAACCCAACAUUGCUAAACCCCAUCCUCUUAUUCAAAUCCAACUAAAAGACCCUACUUCUUGACCAUGUCCUGCACAGACGAGAUAAACUGGGUUUAAAUGGGCUGGCUACAACAUAAAGCUAAGAAGGGGGUGGUGAAAAAAAUCACACAACACAGAAAAUAGUAUCCAAAAAAUGGGGCAAGGACGGCUCUCCUUCGACCUUAUACAAGAGAGAGAGAGCUUGAGCCAUGUUUCCUUUAUUUAUACAAAAAGGAUAUCCUUUUUAUCUUUUAUUUAUUUAUUUAUUUUUAAAUAUUUAUUUUUAAGCUUUAGGCGGAUACAAUAUCUUUAUUCUACAUUUAUGUGGUGCUGAGGAUCGAACCUGGUGCCUUAUGCAUGCUAGGCGAGCACUCCACUACUGAGCCACAACCCCAGCCCUAUUUUUUAUUUUUUGACAAGGUCUCAGUAAGUUGUUUAGGGCCUCACGGAGUUACUGAGGUUGGCCUCAAACUUUCAAUCCUGCUUCAGCCUCCUGAGUAGCUUGUAAUUACAGGUGUGUGCCAUCUUGCCCAGUUCCAGCUAGAUACAAUAGGCAAAAUAACACCAAUAUCAUGAAUAAUAAUACAAUGUAGCAUAAUAAUGAGAAAGGAUGCAUUUGGGGUAUUACCUUUGGAUCUUUUUUAACAUGUGUAUUUAACUAUAUCUGACAUGCCAUAACAUUCACCCACUUAAAAUAUAAAACUCAAUAUUUGCCUGACAUGGUGGUGUAUGCCUGUAACCCCAGCUACUUGGGAGAGUGAGGCAGGAGGAUUAUGAGUUUGUAAAAUAAAGUAGCUGGGUUGUAGUUCUGUGGCAGAGCACUUGUCUAACAUGCACCACAUCCUGGGUCCCAACCCCAAUAUUGUAAAAAACAAAACCAAAAAUCUUGAAUGGUUACAGUAUGUUCAUAGUUGUUCAAUCAUCAACACCUCAAUUUUAAAAUAUCGGCAUCAUCUCAGAAAGCAAUCCUACACUGUAAAAUGUAGCAAUUGCUCCCUCUUCCCUCUAAGUGCCUGUGGGGAGCCACUUUGAAUGACCAUGCCUUCCAGUCCUGAUGCAUUCAUUGUGGCUUGGCAUUGACCCGCUUGGAUAGCAAGAUAGUCUUCUUUGUGGGCUUACCCCUAGGGUUGAGUUACACUCACCUGUUCCCUUGAAAUUCUACCCCUUCUGCCUUCUAUGGAUAGAACUUUCUAAGAACAGUGUCCAGUGUCCCCCCAAUAGAAGCUGACUUCCAAACGUGCUCUCUCUAUCAUCAGCCUUUCUCUUGCUCUCCCUUUUGGGGAGCCUGAGGCCAAGAGACAGGGAAUCCAUCCUGAAGCUUAUGUAAAGGUAAAUUGUGUCUGUGUUUUAUUUUGCAUUCCUACAAAUUCACCUUAGUGACCUUAGUUCAACUGCUUGCGCUGGUUGAGGGCAGCAAGUGGCCUCCUUCUCAGCUCUAGGCAACCACAGAUCACUUUUGUUGUGAUUCACAGAUUUACCCUUUAUGGACUUUUCACAGAAAUGGCAUCUUAGAACGUGGUCUAUUGCAACUUGAUUUCUGCAUAUUGUUUCAUAGUUUACCCAUGUUGUAGCAUGUAUCUAGUCUUCCUGAUUUUGUUGUCUUCUCACCCUUGUUGAAAAUCAUAAUGUCAGGGAUUGUUUCUGGACAUUCAGUUUUAUUCUAUUGAUCAAUAAAUCUAUCCUUAUGCAGUACCAUACAGUAUUGGUCACUACAUUACUUCAUGCCUUCCUAAGAAGGCAAUAAUGCCAAACAAUAUUCUGUUGUAUAGACAUACCCUAUUUUACUUAUCCAAACAUUAGCAGAUGGACAUUGGAGUGUGUUCUAUUUUUUGGCUAUUAUGAAUAAUGCUGUGGACAUUCAUGUAAAAGUUUCAUGUGAAUAUAUGUUUUCAUUUCCUUGGCUAUAGAACACUUGGGAUGGAAUUUCUGGGUCAUAUGCUAACUCUAUGUUUUAUUUCUUUAGGAACUGCCAGAGUUUUCCAAAGUGACCAUACCAUUUUAUAAUCUACCAGCAAUAGAUGAGGGUUCCAGUUUGUCCAUAUCCCCACCAACACUUGUUACUCAGUUUUUAAGACGUAUACUCAUCUUUGUAUGAGUUUAUCAGGAUGAACCCAACUACUAUGUAUAAUCAUAAAGGUCUAAUAAAAAUUAAUUAAUUAAAAAUAUAUUCAUUCUAGUGGGAUUGAAGUAGUAUCUCAUGAUGGUUUUGAUUUGUGUUUCCCUGGUUAAUGAUAUUGAGCAACUUUUCAAAUGCUUACCAACC